CUUAAAUAUUAAAUAUAGCUUAGAUAACACUGAAUGUCUGUGUCUUUGCUUUGACAUUUAAAACAGAUUCAGAGUUGAAUUAUUAAUGAAAUUCCAUUAUCCAUCUUAAAUAUUAAAUUAAUUAUUAAAUAUCAAUUGAAUAAUUUAAGCAAAAUCAUAAGCCCGCCAUUAAGGACUUUCUCAGGUACCGUUAUUGACCUUGCAGGAUAACCAUAAAUAAAUAAGACCAAUGACAAUUUUGUAGCAGUCCAAAUACUUUUAAUUAUAUCUACUGUAUGCGGUCACCCAAGUUACUGUUAUCUUGUGUUGUAAUGCUGUGUUUUACGUCACUUACAUAGACAUAUACUUUGAGACAAAAGAAUUAUCACUCACAAACAUGACAGCAUCACUAAUGAGACGGCAGGAUGGACUUUUAAUUAGAGAGAUCAUAAUGCCAUGUAAGAUGUCAUUUUUGUUUUUGUCAUGAAUCAUAUCAAAGAUGAGCAGGUAGAAGAAGCCCAGAUGACGUCUCUAGAGUGUGAAAAGUCUCAUAGCUGCUCAGAAGGAGCUUCUGUCCUAACCAAAACUCAAUGUCCAUCACUAGUCUGGUCUCCACAGAUACAACUCUAACCAUGGUGAAACUGAAUGUAAUUUAUCAUCAAGCACAGUUUCAGUUCACUUAAACUAUGUGCUUUCACAAGAAACAAUAGUAUUUUUUGAAUUAUUUAGGCUUGAGGAAAAAGGCAAACGAGUGUCUCUUUGAAUGAAACCAUGUGCCUUUUGGGACUGCGAUCAAACAAUCUGCAACACACACCAAGCACAGUUGUUGUGGCCUCACCACAGACAUCUCUCAGGUGAUACAAAGUAUCGUCAUAGAGGGGAAUGAUGAAAGGCUGUUUGGGUUACAACUCAAAAGUGCCCGAGCACUGAGGAUUCUGUGAGCGUCUGUGUUUGUCUCUAUUGCCUGUGUAUAUUUCAGCUCUUCUCUUGCAGAAUGAAGCUGGCCCCAUUUCAAAGACACUUUAAAAGCAACUAGAAUACAGCAUCCUUCCUCCUCUUCCCCCCACUCCACCCACACACACACACACACACAAACAACUCUUUCUAUUGCACACACACACCAAUGUGACUACAUCACAGUGUAAUCUAUUCUGGAUUCAUGUUUUUGGUUUCAUGUGUUGGGUUUUUUAAAAACUCUACCUCCCAAAUUAACUUCCUCUCAAGCUCUCUACAGACCAACUGCAAGUCAAAAUAUUGUCUCUCUAUGUUGCUGAAAAAUAUGUUAGUUUGCUUUGACAAUCAUAUAAAACCACUAGUUAUGUAAACCAAUCUGCAAAAAAAAAAAAAAAGUUUUGAAGGGUAUUCAUAGUACAAAGAGGUUCUACCAUUUGGCAUUAAUUGGACAAUAUAGAAUUUGUAGCCUCUCAGCAAACUGAAUUAAAUUGGCAGGAACAGAAAAACAUUUUCUUGGCUAAAUGAUCACAGAACUGGCAGCAAAGAUCAGAAGUAUCAGUAUCUCCUGAAUAAUGAAAAAUGACAUGCUGCUGAUUAUGUAAUCGACCCAAACUGUUCCAAAUAUAUCUUAAAAGUAUAGUUCACCCAAAAAUGAAAAUUUGCUGAAAAUGUACUCAUCCUCAGGCCAUUCAGGAUGCAGAUGGGUUUGUUUCUUCAUUGGAACAAAUUUGGAGAAAUGUAGCAUUACAUCACCUGCUCACCAGUGGAUCCUCUGCAGUGAAUGGGUGCCGUCAGAAUGAGAGUUCAAACAGCUGAUAAAAGAAUUACAAUAAUCCACAAGUAAUCCACAUGACUCCAGUCUAUCAGUUAACAUCUUGUGAAGCAAAAGGCUUUUUUGUAAGGAAUUAAUUCACCAUUAAGGUAUUUUAACUUUAACCAUUGCCUCCGGACAAAAUACCAGUCUAUAAUCCAUGAUAAUGCCUCCUCCAGUGAAAAAGUCCAUCUCUGUUGUCCUCUCACAUUAACAACCACCAACCUAUUUGUUUAGAAAUGUUCAGCUGUUUAGCUACAACAGACCUGCCUAGAAGCUUCUACAGAGUCCUUCUACUGAAGACUUUGAUUAGCUGAUUCAGUUGUGUCCUCCAGGAACAGGUCUGGACCCUCCUGCGCUAGAGAAAGCAACAUUUUGGAUAGGGGACUUGUGUUUUAGCUAGAAGCAGUGGUAAAAUAAAAUGGUCUUAAAGGGGUACUUUAAGACCACAAAAAUAAAAAUUCUAUCAUCAUUUACUUACCCUCAUGUUUUUCCAAGCCUGUAUGACUUUUGUGGAAACUAUUUGAGAAAAGUCUCAGUAUUUUUUCCAUCCAUGAAAUUUAAGUUCAAGUCAAAGUCACUAAAACAGUAACAACACUCAAAAUAUCUUCAUUUUAUUUUCCACAAAAGAUAAUCAUACAGGUUGGGAACAACAUUGGGGUGAGUGCAUUUUUGACAAUUUCAAUUUUUCUACUUUCACUAGUCAACUAAGCUGUUGACUGAUUUUAGAGGGUUUUUAGGAACUUUUCUAGCUAGUUAAGCUGAGAAAUAGACAAACUAGUUUGACCAUCUUAAAUUACUGUAAACCAGCUUAGACCAGCAAACCAUCUGAGGCUUGCCUAUGCUGUUUUCAGCAGCAUUAUAUGAAACAAAACUGUUUGGAAGUGAUAAGAAGUGCAUGAUUUUACACCUAUUAUUAACUAUGGCUUAUAAUAUCACAGUAUAUGCUUGGAAAAUAAAAUGAUUCAGUGGCUCUGUUUGUGUAUGUGCCCACUCACUUGUGUUUAUUGAGUUAUUGUGUUGAUAUAUGAUGAUGUCAUUUUACCUGUGUGCCUUUCACCCUUCAUCUAAACUUAGACAACCCUAUGCAUAUAAAUACAGCAUAUAUGUGUGCAACUAAUAUAAUAAAAUACAAUGAAUGAUCAAUUAAUAAUCAAAUACACCCCAUUCUAUGUAGCCAACAGCAUUUAUUAACAUCAUUCUCACUUCUGCUCUCAAGUGGAUGAAGUACAUAAUGUCUGCCACUGAGGCCCACCAAUGGCUUCACUUCCUUAGGCAACUAAGAAAACCUUGUGUGUUCACUGCAGUCCUGGCUAGCUUUUACAUGUACACUGUAGACUCCAUCUACAGGGGCAUUACAUUCUAGUACAGCAGCUGCUCUGCAGAGGGUGUUAAAACAGCUCAAAUGAUCAUGGGCAUACGGCUCUCAGCAAACCAGGACAUCUAUUCUAAACACUGUCUCAGGAAAGCUGAAUGCAUUAAGAAGGACUUCAUUCAGCCAGCACCAACACUUUUCUGCUUUCUGCCUUCUGGGAAGCAAGUCAGGUCCAUCAGCAGAUGCACAUCGAAAUACAAGGACAGCUUACACCCCAAUCCCAGCAGCACGCUGUUACAAUGGACACAUACACUAUGGACCCAUCACAUGUUCAUACUCCAAUAGGACUUAAUUACUGCCAGUCACUGUGCUCUGUCGCUUUAUACUUCUCCUCGUACUCUCUCUUACUAUACUGCUGCAAAUCAGUCUUGGCAGAACUCUCUAGAAAAAUAAGUGAUCAUCAUCAUAAUGGCAAAGCAGACAUAAAUUAUUGGGCCAAGCCAGUUCAAACACAUCACUGUAUUUUAGAAAUUAGCCCAACAACACAAGCCAUGACUGCCUAUAUUUCUAAAAAAAAAAAAAAAAAAAGCCAAAGUACUUGUAAGGUUUUUUAAUUGCAAUGUAAAACGUUCAUGUAAUUUAUUUCAUAUUGGCAAAGCUGAAUUUUCAGCAUCAUAACUCCAGUCUUCAGUGUCACAUGAUCCUUUAAAAAUUUUGUGCCCAAGAAACAUUUCAUAUUAUUAUACAUUUUGAAAACAUAUGUGCAACUUAAUAUUUUGUGGAUAUUGUGAAACAGUACAUCUGAUUUUGUAAGCCGCUUGAGAAAUCACAAUGGCAAAACAUGUUGAAACUAUGAGAAUUAAUUUAGAAAUCACAAUCUGAUUAAUGUUAAAUUCUGUUAGUGCAUUCCUUUGAAAAAUUUCUUUAUUAAAUGUAUUCAAUUAAAUUAAAACAGUUUUUGAAUUAUGCAUUGCAUUGUGUUUUGGGGG
Cyprinus carpio carpio is the source of this 4048-nucleotide long non-coding RNA. Lineage: Eukaryota; Metazoa; Chordata; Actinopteri; Cypriniformes; Cyprinidae. The record is from Ensembl.